Macadamia integrifolia is the source of this 292-nucleotide long non-coding RNA. RefSeq lists it as uncharacterized. The transcript has 3 exons. NCBI's taxonomy places the organism in Eukaryota, Viridiplantae, Streptophyta, Magnoliopsida, Proteales, Proteaceae. The record is from RefSeq and is a predicted model, not a curated record.
AUUCGAACAACUUCCUCCAACGGAUUGAAGAGUACGAAAGAGAGAUCCAACGAGUGAUGCAAAAUGGAAAUAACUUAAUUAAUUUAGGUUCUCUGGUUUCCUCUACAGCAAGCUUUCGUUCCCUUCUUUCUCUCUGCUUCUCUGCUGUGCGGCGGAGCUCGAUCGGAGUUGGACUGUCGGACGACUCCAACCGGAUGAUUUAUUAUUUUCAGUGGUGAAAUGAUAGGGAGAUAUGCCGCUGCAUCGAGAUCUUGGUGCACAUGCACCCCAUCCAUAGAGACUGGAUCUACAA